This 445-nucleotide ribosomal RNA is filed under the name uncultured bacterium. Its description in RNAcentral is "bacterial SSU rRNA". It matches the Rfam family "Bacterial small subunit ribosomal RNA", at positions 354 to 796 of the family's 1533-position model. The record is from RNAcentral.
GUGAGGGAUAUUGGACAAUGGGCGGAAGCCUGAUCCAGCCAUGCCGCGUGAAGGAAUAAGGCCCUAUGGGUUGUAAACUUCUUUUGACGCAGAGCAAUAAGGGACACGCGUGUUCCGAUGAGAGUAUGCGUCGAAUAAGCAUCGGCUAACUCCGUGCCAGCAGCCGCGGUAAUACGGAGGAUGCGAGCGUUAUCCGGAUUUAUUGGGUUUAAAGGGUGCGUAGGCUGUCGGUUAAGUCAGCGGUGAAAUCAGCACGCUUAACGUGUUGUUUGCCGUUGAAACUGUCCGUCUUGAAUGCGCUCGUCGUGGGAGGAAUGUGUGGUGUAGCGGUGAAAUGCAUAGAUAUCACACAGAACACCGAUUGCGAAGGCAUCUCACGAGAGCGUUAUUGACGCUGAUGCACGAAAGCGCGGGUAUCGAACAGGAUUAGAAACCCCAGUAGUCC